RNAcentral lists this ribosomal RNA (401 nucleotides) under uncultured bacterium. RNAcentral's name for it is "bacterial SSU rRNA". It matches the Rfam family "Bacterial small subunit ribosomal RNA", at positions 108 to 518 of the family's 1533-position model. The record is from RNAcentral.
GAGGAACGCGUGAGUAACCUGCCCUCAAGUUGGGAACAGCUUCUGGAAACGGAAAUUAAUACCGAAUGUGACCAUAGGAAGGCAUCUUCUGUUGGUUAAAGGCCGCAAGGUCGCUUGAGGAGGGGCUCGCGUCCCAUUAUGCUAGUUGGUGAGGUAACGGCCCACCAAGGCGAAGAUGGGUAGCUGGUCUGAGAGGACGAUCAGCCACACUGGGACUGAGAACUGCCCAGACUCCUACGGGAGGCUGCAGUCGAGAAUUUUUGGGCAAUGGACGAAAGUCUGACCCAGCCAAUGCCGCGUGCGGGAUGAAGGUCUUCGGAUUGUAAACCGCUGUCAAGUGGGACGAAACAAAUGACGGUACCGCUGAAGGAAGUCACGGCUAACUACGUGCCAGCAGCCGC